Molecule: ribosomal RNA, 252 nt
Filed under: uncultured bacterium
Lineage: Bacteria
Description: partial 16S ribosomal RNA
Rfam family: Bacterial small subunit ribosomal RNA
Source: RNAcentral
UACGUAGGGGGCAAGCGUUGUCCGGAUUUACUGGGCGUAAAGGGUACGCAGGCGGCCAUGUAAGUCAGAUGUGAAAGGCUACGGCUUAACCGUGGCAAGCAUUUGAAACUGUAUGGCUUGAGUUAAGGAGAGGAAAGUGGAAUUCCUGGUGUAGCGGUGAAAUGCGUAGAUAUCAGGAGGAAUACCAGUGGCGAAGGCGACUUUCUGGACUUAUACUGACGCUGAGGUACGAAAGCGUGGGGAGCAAACAGG